GGUCGAGCAAGGAUGAAAAUCGGACUUAGUGAUCCGGUGGUUCUGCGUGGAAGGGCCAUCGCUCAACGGAUAAAAGCUACCCUGGGGAUAACAGGCUUAUCUCCCCCAAGAGUCCACAUCGACGGGGAGGUUUGGCACCUCGAUGUCGGCUCAUCACAUCCUGGGGCUGUAGUAGGUCCCAAGGGUUGGGCUGUUCGCCCAUUAAAGUGGUACGCGAGCUGGGUUCAGAACGUCGUGAGACAGUUCGGUCCCUAUCCGUCGCAGGCGUAGGAAAUUUGAGAAGACCUGUCCUUAGUACGAGAGGACCGGGAUGGACGUACCUCUGGUGUACCAGUUGUUCUGCCAAGGGCAUGGCUGGGUAGCUAUGUACGGAAUGGAUAAGCGCUGAAAGCAUCUAAGCGCGAAGCCAACUUCAAGAUAAGAUUUCCCACCGCAAGGGUAAGACCCCAGAAAGACUAUCUGGUUGAUAGGUCGAAGGUGUAAGUGCAGCAAUGUAUUUAGCUUAUCGAUACUAAUAGGUCGAGGACUUGACCAAAUU
Molecule: ribosomal RNA, 538 nt
Filed under: Clostridioides difficile
Lineage: Bacteria; Bacillati; Bacillota; Clostridia; Peptostreptococcales; Peptostreptococcaceae
Description: partial 23S ribosomal RNA
Rfam family: Bacterial large subunit ribosomal RNA
Source: RNAcentral